This 253-nucleotide ribosomal RNA is filed under the name uncultured bacterium. Its description in RNAcentral is "partial 16S ribosomal RNA". It matches the Rfam family "Bacterial small subunit ribosomal RNA", at positions 524 to 776 of the family's 1533-position model. The record is from RNAcentral.
UACAGAGGUCCCAAGCGUUGUUCGGAUUCACUGGGCGUAAAGGGUGCGUAGGCGGUCAGAUAAGUCUGAUGUGAAAUCUUCGAGCUCAACUCGGAAACUGCAUCGGAAACUAUCUGGCUAGAGGAUUGGAGGGGAGACUGGAAUUCCCGGUGUAGCAGUGAAAUGCGUAGAUAUCGAGAGGAACACCAGUGGCGAAGGCGAGUCUCUGGACAAUUCCUGACGCUGAGGCACGAAAGCUAGGGGAGCAAACAGG